UCAAUAUAUAAUUAAAUUAAUCAAGCUCAAUUUAAAUUAAUAAUUAAGAGCUCAAAUAAUUUAAAUAGAUAUAAGCCCAAAUUAAUUAGAUAAAUUAAGUCUAUCAUGUUUUUCUUUGAAUAAGGCCCAAACAAUUUAAUUAAAUCGGCCCAAACAAUUUAAUUAAAUCGGCCCAAGAGUUUAAUUAAAUCGGCCCAAGAGGGAGCCCAAUAUUUUCGGCCCAAACCCGGCUCAAACCCGGCCCAAACCCGGCUGAAACCCGGCCCAAACCCGGCUGAAACCCUAACCUAAAUAUACACACACAAUAAAACACACUCAGCACACACACAUCAAAUGCGCCUCUCUCUCUCUAUCUCUAUCUCUCGGCUCUUUCUCUCCCUACUCUCUCUGCUCUCUCUCUUUACUCUCUCUGCUCUCUCUCUUCGUUCUGCCGCCGCCGCUGCCGUUCAACGGCGCCGUCGCCGCCGGCGAGCGGCGCGGCCUCUCCUCCUCUCUCCCUGAACUCUUCCCCCCCCUCUUCUCCUCUAUCUCUCUCGCUCAAUCUCGGCCGCUGGAAAGGCACAGCAGCGCAACCACGCCGCCGCUCCGUCGCCUCCGCCUCUCUUCCAUGGCAGAUCCGCCGCCGCUGCAACUGGAUCUCGGCGAGCACCGUCGACUGGAAGCCGCUGGAGCUGCUGCUGCUUCGCCGGGAGUCGAGCUGUCGCCGCCUGGAGCUGCUGCUGCUCGCCCGGAGUCGCCGCUGGCUGGCCUGCGAUCGACGGCCAGCAGCUCGCUGGAGGAGCGCCGCCGUCAGCCGCUGCCGUUGGCAGCAAGAAUCCGGCAGCCGCCUCUCCUGGAGUCGCCGUCGCCGUGAGUCGCUGUGAGGAGCCGAGCACCGUCUCACAAAGAUCGGAGACAACCGCGGCUCCGUCGCCGUCCGUCAACCGCCGGCGACGACGAGCCACCGAGGCUGCCCUCCCCCUGACCUCGACUCACACACGCAAUCAGCCAACACAAAGGGUUUUUGUGCGAGAAUCAUAUACUGUAAUUGCUCAAAUAAAAGUUUUAACUCUUUCCUUGUAACUUCAGUUCACAAGUACAUAUUUAGUAACUGUAAAUCUAUGAAUUUGCUACUCAUUUUCUUCAUUUAUCAAAGCAUAUGUAAAUCUGAGUUAAUGAGCAUGUGUUGGUAUUCUGGAAUUGAUGUAUACAAUUGAAGGAUAAUAUAUAAAUUAGAAAUAUAAA
Long non-coding RNA from Salvia miltiorrhiza (redroot sage), 1224 nucleotides. RefSeq lists it as uncharacterized. The transcript is spliced from 2 exons. NCBI's taxonomy places the organism in Eukaryota, Viridiplantae, Streptophyta, Magnoliopsida, Lamiales, Lamiaceae. The record is from RefSeq and is a predicted model, not a curated record.